Molecule: ribosomal RNA, 435 nt
Filed under: uncultured bacterium
Lineage: Bacteria
Description: bacterial SSU rRNA
Rfam family: Bacterial small subunit ribosomal RNA
Source: RNAcentral
AACGCGAAGAACCUUACCUGGGUUUGACAUGUCUGGAAUCCUGCAGAGAUGCGGGAGUGCCGCAAGGAACCAGAACACAGGUGCUGCAUGGCUGUCGUCAGCUCGUGUCGUGAGAUGUUGGGUUAAGUCCCGCAACGAGCGCAACCCUUGCCCUUAGUUGCCAGCACGUAAUGGUGGGAACUCUAGGGGGACUGCCGGUGACAAACCGGAGGAAGGUGGGGAUGACGUCAAGCCAGCAUGCCCCUUACACCCUGGGCUACACACGUGCUACAUUGGGCGAGACAAUGAGAUGCAAAUCUGCAAAGACUAGCUAAUCUAUAAACUCGUUCUAAGUUCGGAUUGUAGGCUGCAACUCGCCUACAUGAAGUUGGAAUCGCUAGUAAUCGCUGGUCAGCUAUACAGUGGUGAAUUCGUUCCCGGGUCUUGUACACACCG